CCUGGCGGCCAUAGAGCCUUGGAACCACCCGAUCCCAUCCCGAACUCGGAAGUGAAACGGGGCAUCGCUGAUGGUAGUGUGGGGUCUCCCCAUGUGAGAGUAAGUCACUGCCAGGC
This 116-nucleotide ribosomal RNA is filed under the name Magnetovirga frankeli. RNAcentral also lists the same sequence under 1 other name. Lineage: Bacteria; Pseudomonadati; Pseudomonadota; Gammaproteobacteria; Chromatiales; Sedimenticolaceae. The record is from RNAcentral.